Olea europaea var. sylvestris is the source of this 583-nucleotide long non-coding RNA. RefSeq lists it as uncharacterized. NCBI's taxonomy places the organism in Eukaryota, Viridiplantae, Streptophyta, Magnoliopsida, Lamiales, Oleaceae. The transcript has 3 exons. The record is from RefSeq and is a predicted model, not a curated record.
GGUUAGUUUAGUACUAGGUACGAGCAUUUUGUUCUCCCUAUGGAUUCUUCGGAACCAUCUGCAAAUCAAUUGCCUAGUUUUUGUAACAUUGAAAGCGUUCACGAAAGCACAAGUGAAUCAUAUAAUGGGUUCAUUCGUCAACAAAAAUGUCAAAGACAGACAGACAGACAGGAGGAAUCAAAGCCAAACUGUGCGCAUUUACCGUCCCGGAAGAGAGAAUCUACUGGCAUGAAGGCAUACAAAGAUGCAAAAACAUAAAUGUUCAGCCUCAUAAUUUGGUCGAUUGUGUUGCGGUUCCUAACACAAUAAAUUCUGAAAUUUAAAUUAUUGAAAAAGAGGCUGCAGUGUUUAAUGGAACAAAUAAACGAUCUCAAGUUUCUUGUCGCGAAUACUAUUCAGACAAGUUACAAAUUAGGCAUUAUGGUAAGUUUGUAUUACUUCACAUCGUAGACUUUUUCAACAGUAUGUUGUAGAUAUGUACGUUAAGAUUGAAACUGCCAGGUUAGAUUAUUUUCAAAAGAAUCAGAAACAAAUUCGUGCUGAACUCUAUCAAGGUAUUGUGGAUAGUGUUCAAAAUGGAGAA